RNAcentral lists this ribosomal RNA (153 nucleotides) under Pseudomonas sp. SB101. Its description in RNAcentral is "partial 16S ribosomal RNA". It matches the Rfam family "Bacterial small subunit ribosomal RNA", at positions 337 to 484 of the family's 1533-position model. Lineage: Bacteria; Pseudomonadati; Pseudomonadota; Gammaproteobacteria; Pseudomonadales; Pseudomonadaceae. The record is from RNAcentral.
UCCUACGGGAGGCAGCAGUGGGGAAUAUUGGACAAUGGGCGAAAGCCUGAUCCAGCCAUGCCGCGUGUGUGAAGAAGGUCUUCGGAUUGUAAAGCACUUUAAGUUGGGAGGAAGGGCAGUUACCUAAUACGUGAUUGUUUGACGUACCGACAG